GUCUUUAUGGGUUUGAUUAGUUUUUUUCAGUGUGUCAUGGUGAUUUUGUUGGUACGGUCUUGUGUGGCUUUGGAGUCCUUUCGUGUUCUGAUGAAGGUCUUCUGGUUCAAUGAAACGUACUUUUAGAGGACCAUCCCAGCCCAUCUACUUCAGUGCUCAUGGCUUCCCAUCUCUUUGGAUGAGUGAUUCGAGUUUUUUUUAAACCUCUGAUGGUAGUUAAAUUCGUGCAGGGAUACGAGUGACGGUGUUGUUGUUCAAGUCUAAUUGCAGUCUCUUAACUAAAGCAUUGACAUUAUUUCGUGCUGCAAAGAUUGAUAUAAUGAAGAAGAUAUUUUUAUGAGAUUUCAUUGUAAUUCUUAAUUAUAAUAGAAGUUGCUUUGUGAUUUCUUGGGUCUAUGAUUCAGAGCAUUGUAAAUGUAAUUAUUAUGAAUUUUGAAUAAAUGUGUAGAUUUUUUUUUUAAAAUGAGGCGGCAGAGAAGAAUAAGGUGGUACCCGGAAAAAAAAAGAGUAAGGUG
RNAcentral lists this long non-coding RNA (515 nucleotides) under Brachypodium distachyon (stiff brome). Its description in RNAcentral is "long non-coding RNA (BDIS_LNC002631)". Lineage: Eukaryota; Viridiplantae; Streptophyta; Magnoliopsida; Poales; Poaceae. The record is from RNAcentral.